This 253-nucleotide ribosomal RNA is filed under the name uncultured bacterium. RNAcentral's name for it is "partial 16S ribosomal RNA". It matches the Rfam family "Bacterial small subunit ribosomal RNA", at positions 524 to 776 of the family's 1533-position model. The record is from RNAcentral.
UACGUAGGGUGCGAGCGUUGUCCGGAAUUAUUGGGCGUAAAGGGCUCGUAGGUGGCCAACUAAGUCAGACGUGAAAUCCCUCGGCUUAACCGGGGAACUGCGUCUGAUACUGGAUGGCUUGAGAUUGGGAGAGGGAUGCGGAAUUCCAGGUGUAGCGGUGAAAUGCGUAGAUAUCUGGAGGAACACCGGUGGCGAAGGCGGCAUCCUGGACCAACACUGACACUGAGGAGCGAAAGCCAGGGGAGCAAACGGG